AUUUAUUAUUAGAAAUUGCAAUAAAUUUUGGAAAGAUGAAUUGAUUUUGGUUAAAAGGUAUAACUGACAAUUUAUUGGGCGGGAAGAUGCAUUAUUUUCCAAUUGUUAUCCAUCUACAGUAAAACUGAUUUGUGUCCUAUUGUAUUUCAUGGAAAAGGAAGGGCAACUUGCAGUGAUUUAGAUUAAAUGUAUUAAUCAUAACCAAGCACUGUGAACUAUAUAUCUACUAUUAAAGAAGAUUUUUGACAUUUAAUUCUGUAGCAAUAUUUUGGCUCUGUACCACUCUUCCUAAAUCCAAUUCCUGCUACAGUUGGCAGAUUUCUCCCUUUUAAUUUUAUGAGGCUUAAAGUAGCAUUUAACCACCCAUGCGGUAAAUAAUGCGGGAUUCGAAAUAUUUAGUGUUUUGUUUCCCUUUCAAGAGUGGUAAUCCAUCAAAUCCAAAAUUGUUCUCAAAAAUUUUUCUAUAUUUUUGGUGAUCUCUCAUAUAUGGUAUCAUAAAAACUAUAAAAUUAGAUAAAAGGCAUUACACAGCCAGAAGAAAUCUGUUCCUCCUGCAGUAACCUGAAAGAGCAGGUGAAAUUCACUUUGAACCAGAAACACAGAAUCCUUACUAAAAAACAAAGUAAGAAACAGGGAUUAAAAUAUGGCAUUGGAUUAGAAUUUUCAAUUUUACUCCUUCAGGUAAUGAACCUUAAUGACUGUACAAAUAAUUUUAUUUUAUUUUAACCAUUUAAUAGCCAUCUAACCCAUGUACUAUGGCCAGAUGAGGUGUUGGAAUCUAUAGGAGAACAAAUACAGAACAUCUAAAGAUGCUCCAGUGCUACACCGUGAAGCUGGGAGUUGUAAAGGGAGAGAAACCGGAAGGAAGAAAGCUCCGUCCUGUCCGCCAGAUGGCCGGCACUUUCAGGAACAUCACAGUAGAAGGUAAAAGCAUUUCAGUAAUAAACGGACGGGCACAGUCAUUCGCUGAGGGAAGACAGUGACACUGAGGUUACAGAUGGCUGAGGAACAAGCUGGGUGAAGACACAGUUCUGAAAGACAGCUGCUGAAGGCGGGCAUGAGGAGAGGUGCUCUGAGAGCUACAAGGGGAAGCUGGGUCCUGCGAGAAGGAAAGGACUGAUACCAGCACGUAGGAAGAGAGCCCAACAAAAUUUGUGAUUUGCACCAAGCCGUUUAUUUCCAUAAAACUUAUCAUAAAGGGUAAAUGAAUCAUCCAACAAUAAAAAUUCCUAAAUCUUUCUUCAAUAUGAGAGCCCAGUCUAAUUUUGAUGGAAAGCAAUUUUUACACACUGAGAAGAAAUUUAAGUUUCAAGUCUCACAGUGUUUUGAAAAGUUAAGAUUCAGAAAAGCAAAAACCACUGCAACAUCCAGCUGAAAGUAGACAAAGAAAGACAAUUCCUGGCAAUGUGAACUUGGAAAAGAACUGAAAUUCAAAAGCCCUAGGUCUGAUCCUUCUCAAUGUAGUCAAUUGUUUAAAACCUCUAGUUAUGAAUUCAUAACAUGGGGUUUACUAUACUUCUGACAGAAAGAAAGCACAUAGACUAUAAAGGUAGCUUACAAAAUGCCGUUAAGCGUGAUUCAAAUAUUUAUUGUUGUCACUAACUUUAAGAACUGUUCAGAAGAAUAGAAAACUGAUAGGAAACAGCAAUUUGAUUUGUGAUAAACUUGAGAAAGAAAUAUUUAGACAUCAACAAGAACAAAUAAAUUAAAUC
Long non-coding RNA from Chinchilla lanigera (long-tailed chinchilla), 1712 nucleotides. Lineage: Eukaryota; Metazoa; Chordata; Mammalia; Rodentia; Chinchillidae. The record is from Ensembl.